GAUGAACGCUGGCGGCGUGCCUAAUACAUGCAAGUCGAGCGAACGGACGAGAAGCUUGCUUCUCUGAUGUUAGCGGCGGACGGGUGAGUAACACGUGGAUAACCUACCUAUAAGACUGGGAUAACUUCGGGAAACCGGAGCUAAUACCGGAUAAUCUUUUGAACCGCAUGGUUCAAAAGUGAAAGACGGUCUUGCUGUCACUUAUAGAUGGAUCCGCGCUGCAUUAGCUAGUUGGUAAGGUAACGGCUUACCAAGGCAACGAUGCAUAGCCGACCUGAGAGGGUGAUCGGCCACACUGGAACGGAGACACGGUCCAGACUCCUACGGGAGGCAGCAGUAGGGAAUCUUCCGCAAUGGGCGAAAGCCUGACGGAGCAACGCCGCGUGAGUGAUGAAGGUCUUCGGAUCGGAAAACUCUGUUAUUAGGGAAGAACAUAUGUGUAAGUAACUGUGCACAGCUUGACGGUACCUAAUCAGAAAGCCACGGCUAACUACGUG
This 497-nucleotide ribosomal RNA is filed under the name uncultured bacterium. RNAcentral describes it as "partial 16S ribosomal RNA". It matches the Rfam family "Bacterial small subunit ribosomal RNA", at positions 28 to 507 of the family's 1533-position model. The record is from RNAcentral.